This 343-nucleotide long non-coding RNA is filed under the name Musa acuminata (dwarf banana). RNAcentral's name for it is "long non-coding RNA (MACU_LNC011658)". The record is from RNAcentral. Lineage: Eukaryota; Viridiplantae; Streptophyta; Magnoliopsida; Zingiberales; Musaceae.
GCCCUCCUCGGCUCCCGCGCCCGCCCCGCCUCGCCAUCGUCGAUGGCUCCGCCGAAUGUGAUCCCGAAGUACGCCAAGUUCGGCCGGUCCUCCCUCAUGAGCUGCUUCAGGGCGAUCCCGGCCGGCGAGCUGCGUCUGGGCUACUUCGCCAAGGACCUGCAACAGUUCAAUCUCGUCCGGCGGUCGCUGCUCGCCGCCGUCGGGAUCGUCGGCUUCUCUUCUUUGAAGGUCGGGCCACGUCUAUCCAUAAGGUGCCGGCGGCGAGUUUCAUCUAUUCUUUGUGUUGCUUCCUCCUUACAUGUUAGGUUCAAUGGGUGAUUCAGGACCAUGACAAGGAUGCUCU